RNAcentral lists this unclassified non-coding RNA (2093 nucleotides) under Hevea brasiliensis (rubber tree). The record is from RNAcentral. Lineage: Eukaryota; Viridiplantae; Streptophyta; Magnoliopsida; Malpighiales; Euphorbiaceae.
CUGAAUAAGAAUAUGUACUGAUUUGAAUGAGUGGUUUGGAAUUUGGAUUGCUUGAUCUGUUUCUUAUGAACUUAAUUUCUGCUUUCAUUUGUAAUUUCUUGCUGUAUCAUGUAAUCUUUUCCCAUGUUUCAAUGGAAUUCUAUUUCUUGUUAAAAGAAAAACAUUAAAGGUCUAAGAAAUCGCAGCCAAAGCUAGAGAGAAAAACAUAAAUCAUGAAGAACCUGCAGUCAUACAAGAGACGGUCAGUUCGGCAUACAUGCAGAAAACAGCUUCUUAGACUUAAAACUUUCACAAUAGAACUAGUUGAAGAAAAUUGCUAUAAUUUAUAACUAGCAUGUCUAUUUAUUGCAACCGUGAGUAACAUUGUGUCCUAAUUCAUUGGGUAUUCUCGGCUUGAGCCCAUACAAGACAAACCCAGAAAUACUUGAUACGCUUAUUUGGGCAAACAUAAACGUCAAACAAUUUUUACAUCUUUGAGGUCAAUGUUGUUUUGAAGCUUGAUUGAGUCUCAAUGUUUUCCCCCACUGACCGCUGCUUUUGCAGUCUUGCUUUGGCUUUAAAUAGGAUUUUAUGCACAUCAUCAAAGUGAGGCCUUGUUGCCUGUCUUGUGUCUUCAAUCCAUUGCUGAACUUUCUUAUAUGGAGCAAUUAUUCGACUGCGAUCAUUCUCAUCCAAAACCUAAAUCCAAAAGUAAAUUUUAAAAUGAGCUCAUACUAUAUAUUUGCUUAGGAACUUCUUCCACUUAGUAAUUCAAAUGACUUUUGAGCUGAGGCAAAUUUAGAAACAGAGAUCCACACUUUACAAUGACAUCUGAUAAGCGUUGGAAACAGAACAGUGAAUACCUAGACAAACUGCCAUAUAAUCAAAAGCAGCACACAAAGUGCUCUAAUGGUAAUCUUAGAAAGAUUUUCAAGAGAGAGCUGGAACAUGUUGAUAACAGAUACUCUAUCAAGUGGACUAACUGUCCUCUAUCUUUGACCUCACAUUAAAGAAACACAUGAACUGGAGGAAAAAGGCUUACUCUGCUUUGAUCUCACAUUAUAGUAACAUAGCAGAGAUUUUCAAUUUUAAAUAAUCUAAACAUUCAUCAGAAAAUCAAUGUAAAAGCCUGAAGCAGUUCAGAAAGUUGGGGUCAGAAAGCUUCCAGGAAGACAUUAUACUGCCAUAUUUUGUUACAUAUAUUACUCUGCUGUUCUGGUGGGAGUGAGCAUGCCUCAUUUUGUGUGUUUGGAAAAUGGAGGAUAAGGGUUUUCACAGUUGCAGAGGUGUGUGAGCAAGGUCUAAACAGAAUUUAAAUAAAAAAUAAAAAAAGAAUACUGGAUUUUAUCUGCAUACCUCCAGUUGCAUUAUUUCACAGACAAGGCUUAGAUCUGCUAUAGAUGGUUGAUUGCCACCUAGCAAAAAUCGUCCGCUUCCCUUGAGCCAAAAGGAUUCUAUCUUUGACAGGGAUGAAGAGAGAACUUUCUCAGCUUCAGCAGCAGCUUGUGGAUUCAGAGGUAGGCCAGAUGCAGGUGCCAGUGUAGUAUUGAAAACAUAUGUAGCUGCUCCCCGGCGUAAAUUAGAGUGGUGCCAAUCCAACACUGAUUGAAUCUUAACUCUCUUGAAAAGAUCAGCCGGAUACCUUAAAAUGUGAACAGGAAAUUAUUAGGAAUUAAGCUGCAGUAUAUAAAACAAGCAUAAAAAGAUAUCAGAUUAAAGGUUCAAUCAAAAGUAUACACAAAUGACAGUUACCAACAGGUCCAACACUACACGAAAACAAGCAUGCAAUAAAGUGAGAUUAUCUAGAAGUAUCUGAUUUAUCAGAACCAUUAGUUUUAGAACAAAGAGGCAGGCUAUACAACUGAGGUUGCCAUUUCUCAAAGAAACAAAAGAUAACGGAUCAAGAAUUUAGCUGGGUGACCUUAUUGAUGCUAAGAUGUGUUCCUUGCUUAAAUAUCUUCUGGGGACUAAGGCCAACAGAGUACACUAGACAUUGUAUUCAUAUGAAUAAUAUUUCAUCCUGUUUCCAGCUGAGGCAUUUCACAUAUUUUAGCUUUUCAUGCCACAUAAAUACAUAACUAGAAAUUCAAUUGCAACAGAUAAGCAUGUAUACU